This 70-nucleotide transfer RNA is filed under the name Bacteroidaceae bacterium. RNAcentral's name for it is "tRNA-Gly". It matches the Rfam family "tRNA". Rfam says of the family: Transfer RNA (tRNA) molecules are approximately 80 nucleotides in length. Their secondary structure includes four short double-helical elements and three loops (D, anti-codon, and T loops). The record is from RNAcentral. Lineage: Bacteria; Pseudomonadati; Bacteroidota; Bacteroidia; Bacteroidales; Bacteroidaceae.
GCCGAUGUAGUUCAAUACAGAACACUCAUUCCCCAAAUGGAAGAUACAGGUUUAAGUCCUGUCAUCGGCA